Molecule: long non-coding RNA, 1598 nt
Filed under: Danio rerio (zebrafish)
Lineage: Eukaryota; Metazoa; Chordata; Actinopteri; Cypriniformes; Danionidae
Description: lncRNA (ENSDARG00000117518.1)
Source: RNAcentral
AUUGGUUAUAUGUUAAUUGAUUGAUUGAUUGAUUGAUUGAUUGAUUGAUUGAUUGAUUGAUUGAUUGAUUGAUUGAUUGAUUGAUUGAUUGAUUGAUUGAUUGAUUGGAUGUUGGUUGAUUUGAUUUUUGAUUUGAUUGGACGUUGGUUGGGUAAUUCAUUUAAGUGGUUGGAUGUUGGUUAAUUUGAUUGAUCGAUCGAUUGAUUGAUUGGAUGUUGGUAGAUAGAUAGAUAGAUAGAUAGAUAGAUAGAUAGAUAGAUAGAUAGAUAGAUAGAUAGAUAGAUAGAUAGAUAGAUAGAUAGAUAGGAUAUUUGAGUUUUGGUUUGAUUGGACGUUGGUUUUGUUGAUUGAUUUCAAUGGAUGUUGGUUGAAUAAUUGAUUGAUUGACUGAUUUUAUUGGUUGGAUGUUGAUUGAUUGAUUGACUGAUUUUAUUGGUUGGAUGUUGGUUGAUUAAAUUUUGGAUUUAAUUAGUAGCUUGAUUGAUUUGAUUAGUUUGAUGUUUGCUGGAUUGAUUGAUUGAUUGAUUGAUUGAUUGAUUGAUUGAUUGAUUGAUUGAUUGAUUGAUUGAUUGAUUGAUUGAUUGAUUUCAUUUGUUGGAUGUUGGUUGAUUAGAUUUUGGAUUUGAUUGGAUGUUGGUUGAUUAAUUAAUCGGUUAUUUAUUACUAUAAAGCAUUGGUCAUCUAUAUUUAUAGUCUGUGUGAACAGAGCCUGUGUUUGCUGAGAGCAGCGGUGCUUUAAUGCGUCUGUUGUAUUUCUUUCUCAGGUCAGUCUAUUCCCCUCCGCAAUUUGCUGAAGACCAACGAGACGUUUUCAGAAUAUCUGACGAACAGCCUUUCGGUGCCAAACACAACAGUGGCGAGUCUGAUGAGGGUGAAGGUUCGGCUCGGACAGUUGCCUUCACUCUCUGCUGAUGGAGAUCUGCGCUCUGUGCUCUGCGGUCCAUCAGUCGAUCGCAUCCUGGAGUUCAGCUCAGCCAAUCAGAAAGCAGAAUUUCAGAACAUCACAUGCUCCCUGACAGCCAAUCAGCUUCUUCAAGCCAGACGAGUGUUUGUGCAGAAUCUGGACAACCUCAAACUCAUGAACGCAGUGAGUGAAACUCUUCUGUUUCUAUUAGACACACGUAAACAAGUCAAAACUGAUAGUUUGGGGUUAAAACUAACACACACAAACACACAUACACAUAUAUAUUAACCCUUAUACUCACUGAGACUCACACACAUACACACACACACACUCAGAGACACACACAAACACACACAUACCCCAUUUGCAGCGUAAUCCCCUGCACAGAUAAAUACUUCAACACACACACACACACAGAUCUGAACAGUGCUUUACCUCUGCAGUAAUGGCUAUUGAGUGUGUGUGAAGGUCAGAGCGACAGACACAGAGAUAAGAGGCCAGUGAAUGGGAGUUUAUUAAGCUUGUUUUAACUGCCUGACAUCCCAGAAUAAACUCUGCAAAUCUAAUGAUCUUUAUAGAUUCAGCCCUACUUCGUUUCAGUUCAGUAAUACCGUCUUAAUCUUUGGCUCCGUGAGGGAGAACCGAUAUAAUACGCAAUUAAGCUCAAGAAAAAAAGAAGGCUCAUUGGAAAUUC